UCCCCUGCUGCGGUCAGUUCACCUCGCUCCGCUGCGGGGGUAGACCAGGGAUCGCUUUGGGCUCGUUUGUCCCGCCUUGCUUCCUUUGCUGUGUCACCCAGCUCGUGUAAGGCUCUCCCUUUCUGACGGAUCAAAUAGGUUACAUUUGCAAGCAGUGGACUGGCAAUAGUCCAGCUCUUUUGGGCUGAUGCUGAUAUCCGCGAACUGAUGAUUUCUCUGUUUUGCUGUCUUAAACUCUCCAGCUCUCAGUGAUGGAAAGGCAAGUUGUGCUUCUGACCAGGGUCUUUCCUCCAGCAGAACUGGAGUCCUGGAGGCAAAUCACUCCUCAAGAUGGAGAUUUAGGAAACUGCUGAAGGGAGGGGGUGAGUGGGAGAAUAUGUUGGAAGGGGGUGCUUGGGUAAGUACUAGCAGCUGAGUUUUGCCUGGCUUUGGGCUGAGGCUGGAUAUGCAGCCGCACUGGGAGAGAGGAUGGAUGGGUACAUGGUUUAGGCAUGAUGAAGGCACGUUAGGAAGUGCUUAGCUGUGGUGUUUGCUUUGCAGGCUGCUCAGAUGCCUGAGGGUAGAACAGGCUGAGGUAUCAUCCCCAGCAAGGUUUGCACGUUGACCACUGCUGCAUGCAGAUAUUGUAUAAACUUUCCCAAAUUCUGGGCCUUCCUCAGCAGCCACUCCAGCCCCUGCUGCUCCACAAGCCGUGUCAGCCCGUACCUCACUGCGCCCAUCUGCUCUCUGCCAACAGCCUCCCUCCUGGCAUAGAAGAGGGCACAAAUUCCGCUGCUUUUCAGAUCAACCCUGUAACAGUGACAAGUAGAGGGGGAGUCUUACCGUGGCUUAGUGGUGACGGACUCAAAUCAUGAAGAGCUGGAUUUUGAUUCUCCUCAGAGCCAGGAAAUGGAAAUAUCUUCUAUACUAUCAUUCCUUAUGGUGAAAGACCAACCAUCUGAAACCUCUACUAGGGCAAGGAGUCACCAAAGAUGCCCCAGUUUACAAGAGGCAGAGAUCAGCCUUGUUUGUGUUCAUGUGGGAGGAGAAGACACUAACACACAAGCAAAGGAAGAAGCACUGAGGGAAGAGAACCUUUCCAGCAAAUUAAUCACUUGGAAAGACAAGACAGAGUGUGAAUUGCAUUGCAGUUAUCUUACAGACUCGGAGACUUCAAGGCAAGCAGCCAGAAUCAAUAAGGCAAAGCUGCCAGUACAACUGCCUCUACGAAGGCCUCAGUUGCCUCCCAGGAGGGGUGGCGAUGAGGGAGCAGGAGCUGAAGGGACCACUGCUGGGCUGGCAGCAAGCUCUGCAUGAGACUCCAAGCCUCUGCAUGGCUCCCCUGGCUCCCUUGUCUGUGGCUGCAAGACUCUGGGGGCAAAUUGGGAUGACUCCCAGCCUCCUGCAGCUGCUGGUAAGGGAGCCAGAGGAGCCGUGGCCACAUUGCGCAGCAGAAGAGGCAGCACAGGAGGAGUCACUGCUCUUCAUGGACAGUUCAGUCUUUCUUUCUCAAAGGAAAUUUUCCAAAGAAAAAAUUCACGUGUUUCAAUUUCCUUCCAGGGGUUAAUAACUCCUGCAAUGAAUAAAAUGGAAAGAAUUUUUUAAAUUACAUAUUCCUUUUCCCUGUUUGUUGCCUUCUCUGUCCUGGUCAAGAAAACACCUCAGAAAAUUUUGCUGCUUCUUCUUACUCAUGCUCUCCGAAUUUUCUUUGUAGCUUGUUACCAAUAUCAUGACUUGUGUUAGCCAGUGCCUUUUUUUACCUUGUCUCUUUGAGGAGGAAAUAGCUGAAAAGCCUUUGUAUCUCACAUGUCAAAUAAUUACAUGCCAGCUGAAUCCUCUGAACACUUCCCAUGGGUGAUACUAAAAGAAAUGUGAUGUCUUCACAGCAUCAAGAAUAUUUUCUCACCAGGGAUUGGCCCGCAGGUGUUUCAGUCCAGAGCUAGCCCAUUACAAAACUGCUCAGAAACAUGCAAAGCCAAAUUCUGUUCUGAAUUACAUCCAUCCAGCUUGAGGGGAACUCAAAGGAGCCGUGCAGGUUCUUCACAAGGCAGACGGGGAGGGAGCAGGAACUGGCCCACUGCUGGUACUUGGAAACAUAUCCUGAUGGCUGGGGUCCAGUGGUGUAAUAGCGGUCUCCCAAUUUGAGCAGUUGCAGCAAGCCCUUGAAGGAAAGGAGAGCAGUAGCAGGAGAGAUUGUAUCUUUUGAGAGGCUUUGCUGAGCUGGAGAGUCAUCAAACAGACAGAUUGCAUUCAUGUCUUGCUUCCUUUCCCCUGAGGAUCAGAAACAGUUAAAACCCCCUGUGAUAUAGGUCUGUGUUCACAUUGAAUCUACACCCAUCAUAUAU
Long non-coding RNA from Cuculus canorus (common cuckoo), 2324 nucleotides. RefSeq lists it as uncharacterized. NCBI's taxonomy places the organism in Eukaryota, Metazoa, Chordata, Aves, Cuculiformes, Cuculidae. The record is from RefSeq and is a predicted model, not a curated record. The transcript is spliced from 3 exons.